This 1877-nucleotide unclassified non-coding RNA is filed under the name Leishmania donovani. Its description in RNAcentral is "gene:LdHU3.18.0290(CDS-product:hypothetical_prote in_conserved)". Lineage: Eukaryota; Euglenozoa; Kinetoplastea; Trypanosomatida; Trypanosomatidae. The record is from RNAcentral.
GAAGCUUGACAGCGCACACCAUCACACUUGAAUCAAUAAUACACAAAAAGAAAAGAGGAAGGCGGGUUGAAGGGCGGGCAGGUCCUUGCUGCUGCUGCUGCUGCCGCGGCUUCUGCCAGAUUGUGCGCUAGGCCCUCAAAAGCUUGUCCCCUUUCUCGCUCGGUUGCCACGUCGCUCGGCAGCGCGCUGACCUUCAGGCGUUGCGCAGGCACAUGGAAACGCACUCACGUAUCUUUAGUCCCUGAAAUCAUGGUCCCCGCACGGGACAUUAUUCAGUACUUUGCAGAUCGUCACACCGCUGCAGUGGCGACGGCGUUUAUUAUCUACGUACUCGUUAUUGCUUGGUGUGGGAAUACGGGCGCGCGCGAGGUGCAGCAGCGGACCGAGGCCGUCUUUCGACGUCUUCACAGCACCGAUGACGCCACAUCGUCCGCAGGACCGACUUUCUUCACCUCUGCGGUGACGCAGAUCGUGUCCGUGGCUGUUCUUCGACUAACAGACGCCGACGCAGAGCUGCUGCAUGGCGGUACUCUCGAUCGUGUAUCGUCACGGGCCGAGAGAGAGCAGCAGUUGCUCUCCCUCGCAUCUCGCUGGCAGUACUACUUCGCCGUCGGCGAUUUCACCCUCAUCUCGGCUUCGUCGCGCUUGACCGCCAGUGGGAUGCUGAAGGAGUGGAUCGCGACGCUGGGUUCGGUAUACCCAACAUGCGUGUUCGCCUCUCUUGCGGGCGGCGCUGGGUCUGAGGACACAGAGGAUGACAGACAAGUGCUCAUCCUGCCCUCCGCCUGGCAGUCGCACCGACGCGCGUUGAUGGGCGAUCAACACCAGCGGUCUCUACGCGUCCUGCGUGUGCACACGCUCCCGGCUCCGGAGCGACUGCGGGAGAGAGUGGCAGCGGUGGCGGCAGCAAGUAAUGAGGGCGAUGGCGGCGCCAAAGACCCCCUCUUUGUCUUCGUGUCGGAGAACGCGAUUCGCAAGUGGUCUGCUGCCGUGGACGCUGCGGAGCUGAAGCGUCCGCCGACGGAGCGGUGGCGCAGCGGAAAGUCAGGCCUCAAUGCGUGGGAGGAGCUGCUACAGAUAACGUCGAUGCCGCAAGCAGCGCUUCGUGCCGCGGUGGGCGCAGCUGCCGCCCCACCUUCUGUAGUUGAUCCCUUGCCGCCUGACCUCCGUCGUCGUGAGGCGCAGCUGAGCAGGAAGAUGACACAGGAGUCGUUGACAUCGGCGAUGGACGCGGCGCAGUACAUUCCGCGGCUUGCCAUGGACCUCGCUAACACCUACAAGGCGCCAUACGUGAUCGUUGCUUCGUGGUGCUCCUCCGUUGGUACCUACGGCUGGAAUGGAACCGGCACGUCAGGGGCCAGGACUGAGGACCAAGCUCUGGUGCUUGUGCUCUGCUUGCAAGACAACGAGCUCUUGGACAUUGUACCCUCAAGACAGCAUGUUUCGAGACUGCUCCAGCAGUAAUACCACACGCUCGUGUGGCAUAGGAAGCUGUUGUGUGAGUUUAGUGUCGACUGUUGGCCGUUGGCUCGCUCCCCCCUCCCCCGUCUUCGCACCACUGCACGACAUGACAACGAUGCUGCCGCUGCUCCAGCCCUUCCUUCUCUCCACUCACUUUCCAUUCGCCUAGCAAAACAGCAGCAGAGCCGCGCCGUGAGCGAGACGGGUGCGCGGACAUCCUUGACCUCUUUCAUACCCAUGCAUGCUUUCCUUUCUUCACAUGCGCCGUGCCGGCUGCCUUUCUCACGGAUCGGACAGCGGGCAACGGCAGAGGAGAAUGAGAGCGCUUGCCCAUGAUACGUCGUCGCCACCGGCUCCGUUUUUACAAGCAUCACUCCUCCGCCCGUAUGGGGCGCCGCUUGUAUGGUAGGGUUUUG